CUCUCGGCCUCGGUAAACUCCAUCUCGUCCAUCCCCUCGCCCGUAUACCAGUGAAGAAACGCCUUCCGCCGGAACAUGGCCGUGAACUGCUCGCUCACCCGCUUAAACAUCUCUUGGAUCGACGUCGAGUUCCCCACGAAGGUGGACGACAUCUUGAGCCCCUUUGGAGCGAUGUCGCACACGCUCGACUUGACGUUGUUUGGGAUCCACUCGACGAAGUAGGACGAGUUCUUGUUCUGGACGUUGAUGAGCUGCUCGUCCACCUCCUUGGUGCUCAUCUUGCCGCGGAACAUCGCGGACGCGGUGAGGUAUCGCCCGUGU
This 321-nucleotide long non-coding RNA is filed under the name Selaginella moellendorffii. RNAcentral's name for it is "long non-coding RNA (SMOE_LNC001948)". Lineage: Eukaryota; Viridiplantae; Streptophyta; Lycopodiopsida; Selaginellales; Selaginellaceae. The record is from RNAcentral.